UGGGGAAUAUUGCGCAAUGGGCGAAAGCCUGACGCAGCAACGCCGCGUGAGCGAUGAAGGCCUUCGGGUUGUAAAGCUCUUUCGAUUGGGAAAAAGUGCAGUAGUUCUAAUACAGCUACUGUGUGAUACUACCGAUAUAAGAAGCACCGGCUAACUUCGUGCCAGCAGCCGCGGUAAUACGAAGGGUGCAAGCGUUGUUCGGAUUUACUGGGCGUAAAGAGUUCGUAGGCGGAAUAAUAAGUUAAUGGUAAAAUCCUUGGGCUUAACCCAAGACUCGCCAUUAAAACUGUUGUUCUUGAGUUUUGGAGAGGGUAAUGGAAUUGCUGGUGUAGGAGUAACAUCCGUAGAUAUCAGCAGGAACGCCGGAAGCGAAAGCGAUUACCUGGCCAAACACUGACGC
RNAcentral lists this ribosomal RNA (400 nucleotides) under uncultured bacterium. RNAcentral's name for it is "bacterial SSU rRNA". It matches the Rfam family "Bacterial small subunit ribosomal RNA", at positions 355 to 746 of the family's 1533-position model. The record is from RNAcentral.